Molecule: long non-coding RNA, 252 nt
Filed under: Lathyrus oleraceus (garden pea)
Lineage: Eukaryota; Viridiplantae; Streptophyta; Magnoliopsida; Fabales; Fabaceae
Description: Pisum sativum (pea) long non-coding RNA (PSAT_LNC031613)
Source: RNAcentral
GUGACAGAUAGUCUCUUUCUUUGCGGUCUUCUACCGAGUAACUGGUAGUUGUAAAUCAUAUUUGGCUUUUCCUCAGCAGGUUAUUCUUACCCAGUAACUGGUAAUGAAUACACCUUAUGUUUCCCUCAGCGAGUCAUCCUUGAUAUGUUUACCCUAACCGGUAACGGAUGUCCUCUCUAUCAGAUUAUUAUCCCCUUACCUAGUAACCGGUAGUGGAUACUAUACUUUUGUUACUCCUAUGUCGAAUUUUAU